CCUACGGGAGGCAGCAGUAGGGAAUAUUGCUCAAUGGGGGAAACCCUGAAGCAGCGACGCCGCGUGAGGGAUGAAGGUUUUCGGAUUGUAAACUCCUUUUGUUAGAGAAGAUAAUGACGGUAUCUAACGAAUAAGCACCGGCUAACUACGUGCCAGCAGCCGCGGUAAUACGGAGGGUGCAAGCGUUACUCGGAGUCACUGGGCGUAAAGAGCGCGUAGGCGGGAUAGCAAGUCAGAUGUGAAAUCCUCUGGCUUAACCAUAGAAUUGCAUUUGAAACUGUUAUUCUAGAGUACGGGAGAGGUAGGUGGAAUUCGUGGUGUAGGGGUAAAAUGCGUAGAGAUCAAGAGGAACACCGAUUGCGAAGGCGGCCUGCUAGAACAUAACUGACGCUGAUGCGCGAAAGCGUGGGGAGCAAACAGGAUUAGAUACCCGGGUAGUC
Molecule: ribosomal RNA, 440 nt
Filed under: uncultured bacterium
Lineage: Bacteria
Description: partial 16S ribosomal RNA
Rfam family: Bacterial small subunit ribosomal RNA
Source: RNAcentral